RNAcentral lists this ribosomal RNA (466 nucleotides) under uncultured Desulfobulbus sp. RNAcentral's name for it is "bacterial SSU rRNA". It matches the Rfam family "Bacterial small subunit ribosomal RNA", at positions 912 to 1382 of the family's 1533-position model. Lineage: Bacteria; Pseudomonadati; Thermodesulfobacteriota; Desulfobulbia; Desulfobulbales; Desulfobulbaceae. The record is from RNAcentral.
GACGGGACCCCGCACAAGCGGUGGAUCAUGUUGUUUAAUUCGAUGAUACGCGAAGAGCCUUACCAGGUCUUGACAUCCCCCGCGAUGCUUUAGAGAUAAAGCGGAGGUAUUCGGGGAGACAGGUGCUGCAUGGCUGUCGUCAGCUCGUGUCGUGAGAUGUUGGGUUAAGUCCCGCAACGAGCGCAACCCUUGCCUUUAGUUGCCAGCAGUUCGGCUGGGCACUCUAAAGGGACUGCCGGUGUUAAACCGGAGGAAGGUGGGGAUGACGUCAAGUCCUCAUGGCCUUUAUGACCAGGGCUACACACGUACUACAAUGGCCGAUACAAAGGGCAGCGACACUGCGAGGUGAAGCCAAUCCCGUAAAAUCGGUCUCAGUCCGGAUUGGAGUCUGCAACUCGACUCCAUGAAGUUGGAAUCGCUAGUAAUCGUGGAUCAGCAUGCCACGGUGAAUACGUUCCCGGGCCUU